GAUGUGCUCCUUUUGUUCCUUCUUUACCCGCCCCACCUCCACCUUCUCCGCCACCCGUUGUUCUGCCAUCACCUUCACCACCACCUCCAUCACCUGUGUUUACUCCGCAAUCACCACCACCACCGGUCUACUCCCCACCGCCUCCUGUUUACUCUCCACCUCCCCCUCCACCUUCACCUCCACCCCCACCACCUGUUUAUUCUCCACCUCCCCCUCCACCCUCACCUCCACCACCAAUUUAUUCACCUCCACCACCCCCGCCCUCACCUCCACCUCCUUCACCACCGCCACCUCCUCCACCAGUUUAUUCCCCACCACCUCCACCACCAUCCCCACCCCCACCAUCACCUCCCCCACCUCCGCCACCACCACCACCUACUUAUCCGUCACCCCCACCCCCUUCACCAACUUCAUCACCUCCAUAUUGCGUGAGGUCCCCACCUCCUCCGCCACCAAAUUCACCAC
RNAcentral lists this long non-coding RNA (465 nucleotides) under Theobroma cacao (cacao). Its description in RNAcentral is "long non-coding RNA (TCAC_LNC005134)". The record is from RNAcentral. Lineage: Eukaryota; Viridiplantae; Streptophyta; Magnoliopsida; Malvales; Malvaceae.